Molecule: long non-coding RNA, 1256 nt
Filed under: Oryzias sinensis (Chinese medaka)
Lineage: Eukaryota; Metazoa; Chordata; Actinopteri; Beloniformes; Adrianichthyidae
Description: lncRNA (ENSOSIG00000000447.1)
Source: RNAcentral
UUCUCGGAUUCGCAAACAUCGGAGACGACGCGAUCGGAGGUUGCGGUCGGAUACUUCCUGCUGCCAUUCCAAAACAGAGGACAGAUAUCCUCUGCAUAAGUCUGUGGUUCAUCAGGCUUUUAGAGACCUAGCAGCUGUUGAAGAGGAAGCCAGAGCAGCCCUGAGCCACACGGACACCAGACCACCAACCAAAUCUGUUUGUACCGCGGCUCCAAAAUAUCGCUCCGUCCUCUCGGCCAGCGCCGAGGAAAUCUUGAUUGAUUUUGCCCUCAAAUCCUGGAAAAGUGCUUUUCAACGGAAGCAGAGCUCAAAAUUUGCCAAACUGCAGAGAAGGUCCGCAUGAUUAUGAUUCUGGUAAUGACACAUCUUCACCUCCAUCAAGCAAAACCGGUGUUUCCCAAGGGAGCGCCGCUGAGUAUGCCAGGACCGGACGUGUGGCCUCGGCGUUCAGAGACAGCGCCUCGGAUUCAGGGAACUCUGUGACCAGCUUUGCAUCUUCCUGCAAACCUUUCGGGGAAACCAGCCUGUCUGCAACCCUCUGCAAUCAAAUCAGGAACAGGGAGCAGAUAACCUUGGGGUGUCACGUAGAGGUUGUCGGAUCGUCUGAGUCAACCAGCUGUGAAUCGAGGAGGAGGAGGGGUUCGUCUCGGACAAAAGGUCGCUCUUCCACCAGCAGGAGCAGAUCCUCAGGGAGUUCCAAAUACUUGGGACGCUAUUCCAGAAGCUCCUCGUUGUCUUCUCGCAGCUCGUACUCACGAUCCCCCAGUCACUCAGAUGUCAGGCGAAGAGGCAGCAUGAGCAGCCUGAGCUCCAGAGGAAGCUACUCCAGACACAGUGAUGACAGACUUUCAGACAGAAAGAGACGAGCAGACUCCAGAGAGACAGACGCAAAGCAAGGCCGCAAAGUCAGGAAGCGAGGAAGGCGCAAAUCCUACACUCCCAUGAGGAAGAGGAGGAGGGACUCGCCGAGUCAUCUAGAAGCUCGGCGCAUCACAAGUGCGAGGAAGAGGCCCAUUCCUUAUUUCCGGCCAAGCCCCCCCUCCAGCAUUCGUUCCACCAGCGUGUCGUCCUGGAGCAGCAUCUUCACCCGCAGUCGAAGCCCCAUCCACAGCAUCAGCCGCAGUCGCAGCCACAGCUUCUCCUCCUACAGGAGCUACAGUCGCAGCUCAUCCUGGAACUCCACCUGCGGGAGCCGCAGUCGCAGUCGCAGCCGCAGCCGCAGUUUGCUCAUCAAACGCAGGAAAACGAGGCAUUAG